This 70-nucleotide transfer RNA is filed under the name Ictidomys tridecemlineatus (thirteen-lined ground squirrel). Its description in RNAcentral is "Spermophilus tridecemlineatus (thirteen-lined ground squirrel) tRNA". It matches the Rfam family "tRNA". From Rfam's summary of the family: Transfer RNA (tRNA) molecules are approximately 80 nucleotides in length. Their secondary structure includes four short double-helical elements and three loops (D, anti-codon, and T loops). Lineage: Eukaryota; Metazoa; Chordata; Mammalia; Rodentia; Sciuridae. The record is from Rfam by way of RNAcentral.
GGGGAUAGAGCUUAGUUGGUAGAGAGCUUGCCUCACAUGCAAAAGACCCUGGGUUCAAACCCUAUCACCA